AAACAACUCAAAUUGGCUUAUGCAAAAAUAAAAGAAAUUUUAAAAAUUAAAAAGAAAAGACUAUAUUGGCUGUUGGCUCACAUAACUAAAAAAACUAGUGAUAUAUUUAGUUUGAGUCAUAGCUUGCUCCAAGGGCUUAAGCAAUGUCAGUAGAAUUUUAUUCCUCUUCAUCUCUUGGCUCUAUCUUCUGAGUUGGCUUCAUUCUCCGUCUCCAUAUGGUGGUUUUUGGCAGCUCCAGUUCACAUAAUUCUUACUGUUAGCAAUCUCAGUGGAAAAGUGCAUGCCUCUUCCCCACAGGGGCCUGCAAUAGUCUUACAUUUCACUGGCUCUGAUUAGGACACGUGGCCAGAAGAAUCCAGUAGGUUGGACCUGAUUCACAUGGUUACUCAUGUUGCUGAGAGUAGAAUCCACUCCACCUAAAAGACAUUGACUGAGCGUAGUAGAGGAGGAAUGUCAAAGUAUGGUUAUCAGAAGAAGGGCAAAUGGAUACUGAGUGGCAUAAACUCCCAGAUGUCUUUCAUUAGAUCCACUGUGAGUGUUUUCUAAUUGCUUCACAUGUGUUAGUUUUAUCUCCUUCACUGAACUGUGUCUCAGGAGCAGGAUCAUGUAUUAUAUGUCUUAACAGUGCCAACCCAACAGGCGAUACUGCUGAUUGAUAGCCUCUUCUUAUAUUACUAAAGAUUGCACACUUAAGGAGGAUAAAGAUAGCUUAAUAAAGGAGAUGAUUUACAGAGAUAUAUGAAGGGUUAAAGGAACCAAGAAGGGAUGGUAAAACAUUUAAGGAUUGACAACCAUGGGAGGCCUAAAGGAGAAGAGAAAGGAUUGGAACUAUAAAAGUGGUAGCUUGGAAGAGGAUGCCCGACAAAGGCUGUGACUGUCAAACAGAUAAAUGUAGCCAUUACCAAAAUAUGGCCUGGCAAAGGACCAGGAGACAAACAUGUAUCCUCUUUUCCUUCUACCCUCCAAACUUCUCCUGGUAUCUCCCCUUCACCAAACUCAACUAGAAAAUGGAGCUUCGGCGGUACAGUCUAUAAAUUCCUGCUUCCAGUAUAAAGCAAGACAAAUAGAGUGAAAAAUGGAUCUGGAGGAGCAAAAGGAAAAUUACCAGGAUGCCUCUAUUAUGUUCCAGAAAGCAACCCUAAAUAAAAAUAAUCCCUAUUCUGUGUUUACUGUAUUCCUUGGAUUUAUCUGGAAAAUAAAGUUUUGCC
This 1208-nucleotide long non-coding RNA is filed under the name Marmota monax (woodchuck). Lineage: Eukaryota; Metazoa; Chordata; Mammalia; Rodentia; Sciuridae. The record is from RNAcentral.